CCUGGUUUGAGCGAAUCAAGUACGAGAAGAUAAAUACUUGAACUCAAACCUGUGUGCUCUUGUGAUAAAGAACCCGUACAAUCCACGACUCGAUCAAGAUCUAAAGGUAGAAAUGGAAUGAAAGCAUGUAUGAAUACAUUCAUAUAAAGAAACUAACGGUUUUAUAUGUGCAAGGUAAACAUAAGUGUCUGAAGAGGAUGGUCGUGGAUGCAGGAUAGGAUGAAUACUAAGGCUGGCAAAGGUGUAAAUAAGCUAAUGAACCCCAGGUACACACUAUUAAUAUGUAUGGGUAUCAAUGUUGAAAGAAAAAGGAAGAAAUCUCCUUGGGAAGGUAAUUAUUAAACGAAAGGCAAUGAUGUGGUCUUGGGGAAAUUUUAGAAAUGUGCACGAAACUGAAACCCAUUUCUCGGACAUAAGGCGAUGAUUACACGAAGGCACGAAACUAGUAUGUGGAUUGCGCACCUGGCCAGUACGCAAGAAGCAUAUGACGUUCGUGAGACCGUGGUAAUCAUCGCAGGUGUGUCCGGUAGAACUGGGUAACAGGUGGGCGUGUGGUGAAAUGGGUAGUAAGACUCUCGGGAAAUUGAGAGUACUAUGUAAGAGUGAAAAGUAUGAGUGAUAAGAAUGAAGAAUGUUGAAUCCGUAAGACAGUACGGAUCAGCAAUGUAUGAAUGAAAUGUUUGAAUCCGCGAGACGGAUUCAAAGAAUGAAAGAUGCGAAUGCAAUGUUUGAAUCCGCAAGACGGAUUCAAAACAUAGAAGGUACGAAAGGUAUGAAUAAUGCAUUCGAAUCCGCGAAACAUAUUUAAGGUAUAAAAGGCGAAACUAGUCUACAUAAGAAGUGUCGAUAGUUUGACCGUGAUUGUGUUAAAUGAGUCAUAUGGGCAAAUGUAAAGUAAAGAAACAAAAGAAUGAUCGUAAUGAGCAUGCAGACCUAAGUUAUAAAACGAAAGAAGGAAGUUUUGAACAAGGUAUGUGUUAAAUGUGUUAGAAAUCGACUCUUAGAAGUCAGAAUGAAUGACGGGCUAUGACCCAGACAAUGGUUUAAGUAUGAACAAAAAGGGUAAAUUUGUUAAGAAUACUAAAACGAUGUAAUGAAUGUUUUUGUAAGUAAGCAUGAAUGGAAGGAAGCACGAAUGUGUACUUCAAUGCAUCUAUGAUAAGUAAGAAAAUUCAGUUUAACCUUAAAAGGUCAAACUGCAAAGGUUGACGAAAUAAGUAACUAAAAUGAAAGGAUUGCGUGUAAGAAAUGGAAUGUAAGAUGUGUUAUAGUAUGUACGCAGGAAAUAUGUAACAGAAUUAUAGGUGUGUAAUCACCUAGUGUUAUGAAUGUUUGAAUGACAUAUGCUAACCGCCGAUGUUGUUGAUGAUAAUGUUAGAACUAUUGAUGCGAUGAAACCAAUCGUAUUGGUGAAAGGACGUGCACGAGCGGAAGCUCAUAACACGAAGGAAUGAAACUUGGCCUGUACGGCUAGUGCACGAGGAGAAGAUGAUCGAUCAGGGUUGCGGAUCGUGGUUGGGAAAUGAAAAAGAGAAAUUCAGCAAAUUGAGGAUGAAAUAGGACAAGAUUCUUAUGCAUGUGAUGAAAUUCUUAAUCAUCUAAGAGUUCUCUACAUAAGGAUAGGAACCACACUAGCAUGGACCAAGCAUGAAAGGCUAA
Molecule: long non-coding RNA, 1659 nt
Organism: Helianthus annuus (common sunflower)
Lineage: Eukaryota; Viridiplantae; Streptophyta; Magnoliopsida; Asterales; Asteraceae
Exons: 3
Source: RefSeq, a predicted model, not a curated record